GGGCGCGUAGCUCAGCGGGAGAGCACCUCGUUCACACCGAGGGGGUCACAGGUUCAAUCCCUGUCGCGCCCACCA
RNAcentral lists this transfer RNA (75 nucleotides) under Aurantimonas coralicida. RNAcentral's name for it is "tRNA-Val". It matches the Rfam family "tRNA". Rfam says of the family: Transfer RNA (tRNA) molecules are approximately 80 nucleotides in length. Their secondary structure includes four short double-helical elements and three loops (D, anti-codon, and T loops). Further hydrogen bonds mediate the characteristic L-shaped molecular structure. tRNAs have two regions of fundamental functional importance: the anti-codon, which is responsible for specific mRNA codon recognition, and the 3' end, to which the tRNAs corresponding amino acid is attached (by aminoacyl-tRNA synthetases). tRNAs cope with the degeneracy of the genetic code in two manners: having more than one tRNA (with a specific anti-codon) for a particular amino acid; and 'wobble' base-pairing, i.e. permitting non-standard base-pairing at the 3rd anti-codon position. RNAcentral also lists the same sequence under 28 other names. The record is from RNAcentral. Lineage: Bacteria; Pseudomonadati; Pseudomonadota; Alphaproteobacteria; Hyphomicrobiales; Aurantimonadaceae.